RNAcentral lists this long non-coding RNA (110 nucleotides) under Salvator merianae (Argentine black and white tegu). RNAcentral's name for it is "lncRNA (ENSSMRG00000015315.1)". Lineage: Eukaryota; Metazoa; Chordata; Lepidosauria; Squamata; Teiidae. The record is from RNAcentral.
GUUUAUCUGAACACCCCAGCUAGAUGUGGGAACUUCAGCGGAGCUGUGCAAAGGUUGCAACAAAGGGAAGAUUAAUUGUCAGGGGAGCAACAGAGAGGGGAGCACAGUAA